GCGUUGGUGGUUCAUUGGUAGAAUUCUCGCCUGCCACGCGGGAAACCGGGGUUCAAUUCCCCGCCAACGCA
Molecule: transfer RNA, 71 nt
Filed under: Paramuricea clavata
Lineage: Eukaryota; Metazoa; Cnidaria; Anthozoa; Malacalcyonacea; Plexauridae
Rfam family: tRNA
About the family: Transfer RNA (tRNA) molecules are approximately 80 nucleotides in length. Their secondary structure includes four short double-helical elements and three loops (D, anti-codon, and T loops).
Source: Rfam by way of RNAcentral